AGGAGACAGGGAUACUGGAGUGAUGGAGGUAGAUAUGUAUAGGGGGAAGGAGACAGGGAUACUGGAGUGAUGGAGGUAGAUAUGUAUAGGGGGAAGGUGACAGGGAUACUGGAGUGAUGGAGGUAGAUAUGUAUAGGGGGAAGGAGACAGGGAUACUGGAGUGAUGGAGGUAGAUAUGUAGAGGGGGAAGGUGACAGGGAUACUGGAGUGAUGGAGGUAGAUAUGUAUAGGGGGAAGGUGACAGGGAUACUGGAGUGAUGGAGGUAGAUAUGUAUAGGGGGAAGGGGACAGGGAUACUGGAGUAAUGGAGGUAGAUAUGUAUAGGGGGAAGGAGACAGGGAUACUGGAGUGAUGGAGGUAGAUAUGUAUAGGGGGAAGGAGACAGGGAUACUGGAGUGAUGGAGGUAGAUAUGUAUAGGGGGAAGGAGACAGGGAUACUGGAGUGAUGGAGGUAGAUAUGUAUAGGGGGAAGGAGACAGGGAUACUGGAGUGAUGGAGGUAGAU
Molecule: long non-coding RNA, 504 nt
Organism: Oncorhynchus tshawytscha (Chinook salmon)
Lineage: Eukaryota; Metazoa; Chordata; Actinopteri; Salmoniformes; Salmonidae
Source: Ensembl